AUUGAACGCUGGCGGCAGGCCUAACACGUGCAAGUCGAGCGGAUGAAGGGAGCUUGCUCCUGGAUUCAGCGGCGGACGGGUGAGUAAUGCCUAGGAAUCUGCCUGGUAGUGGGGGAUAACGUCUGGAAACGGGCGCUAAUACCGCAUACGUCCUGAGGGAGAAAGUGGGGGAUCUUCGGACCUCACGCUAUCAGAUGAGCCUAGGUCGGAUUAGCUAGUUGGUGGGGUAAAGGCCUACCAAGGCGACGAUCCGUAACUGGUCUGAGAGGAUGAUCAGUCACACUGGAACUGAGACACGGUCCAGACUCCUACGGGAGGCAGCAGUGGGGAAUAUUGGACAAUGGGCGAAAGCCUGAUCCAGCCAUGCCGCGUGUGUGAAGAAGGUCUUCGGAUUGUAAAGCACUUUAAGUUGGGAGGAAGGGCAGUAAGUUAAUACCUUGCUGUUUUGACGUUACCAACAGAAUAAGCACCGGCUAACUUCGUG
This 484-nucleotide ribosomal RNA is filed under the name uncultured bacterium. Its description in RNAcentral is "partial 16S ribosomal RNA". It matches the Rfam family "Bacterial small subunit ribosomal RNA", at positions 30 to 507 of the family's 1533-position model. The record is from RNAcentral.